UGGGGAAUAUUGCACAAUGGAGGGAACUCUGAUGCAGCGACGCCGCGUGAACGAAGAAGGCUUUCGAGUCGUAAAGUUCUUUUAUAUGGGAAGAUAAUGACGGUACCAUAAGAAAAAGCCCCGGCUAACUACGUGCCAGCAGCCGCGGUAAUACGUAGGGGGCUAGCGUUGUCCGGAAUCACUGGGCGUAAAGGGGUCGCAGGCGGAAAUGCAAGUCAGGUGUAAAAGGCAGUAGCUUAACUACUGUAAGCAUUUGAAACUGCAUAUCUUGAGAAGAGUAGAGGUAAGUGGAAUUUUUAGUGUAGCGGUGAAAUGCGUAGAUAUUAAAAAGAAUACCGGUGGCGAAGGCGGCUUACUGGGCUCAUUCUGACGCUGAGGAACGAAAGCGUGGGUAGCAAACAGG
RNAcentral lists this ribosomal RNA (403 nucleotides) under bacterium. RNAcentral's name for it is "partial 16S ribosomal RNA". It matches the Rfam family "Bacterial small subunit ribosomal RNA", at positions 355 to 776 of the family's 1533-position model. The record is from RNAcentral.